AUUGAACGCUGGCGGCAGGCCUAACACAUGCAAGUCGAACGCGUGGCGGACGGGUGAGUAAUGUCUGGGAAACUCCCUGAUGGAGGGGGAUAAAUACUGGCAACGGUAGCUAAUCCCGCAUACCAUCAGAUGUGCCCAGAUGGUAUUAGCUAGUUGGUGGGGUAACGGCUCACCAAGGCGACAAUCCCCAGCUGGUCUGAGGGGAUGACCAGCAAAACGGGAAAUGAGACACGGUCCAGAGUCCUACGGGAGGCAGCAGUGGGGAAUAUUGCACAAUGAGCGAAAGCCUGAUGGAGCCAGGCCGCGGGUAUGAAGAAGGCCUGCGGGUUGUAAAGUACUUUCAGCGGGGAGGCGUUACCCGCAGAAGAAGCACCGGCUAACUCCGUGCCAGCAGCCGCGGUAAUAC
Molecule: ribosomal RNA, 406 nt
Filed under: uncultured bacterium
Lineage: Bacteria
Description: partial 16S ribosomal RNA
Rfam family: Bacterial small subunit ribosomal RNA
Source: RNAcentral